This 200-nucleotide ribosomal RNA is filed under the name uncultured bacterium. RNAcentral describes it as "partial 16S ribosomal RNA". It matches the Rfam family "Bacterial small subunit ribosomal RNA", at positions 30 to 242 of the family's 1533-position model. The record is from RNAcentral.
AUUGAACGCUGGCGGCAGGCCUAACACAUGCAAGUCGAGCGGGGUUUUCGGACCUAGCGGCGGACGGGUGAGUAAUGCGUAGGAAGCUGCCCGAUAAAGGGGGAUACCAGUUGGAAACGACUGUUAAUACCGCAUAAUGUCUACGGACCAAAGUGUGGGACCUUCGGGCCACAUGCUAUCGGAUGCGCCUACGUGGGAUU